CCGGCACUCGACGCCGACACCGCCCAGGGGCAGCAGCACAGAGCGGCCGCCAGCGCCACACAAAGACGGGCCGCGCCCAGCAGCAUCUUCCAAGCGGCAGCGAGCUGAAGCCAAGGGGUCAGAUCCGCCCCGCACGAGCAUUUGCCCCCUCCGGGUAACGGGAGACGCUGGUUAAACAUACAACGGAGAUCAAAGGCCAGUGCAGCGCCAAGCUGCCGAAAACCGUUUGCCAAAGAAGUUCUCCAGGAUGCUUCCUUCCAUCUCCAAAGUCCAUGCCAUGGUAAUCCUUUCUACGGCCAAGGAGUUCUGGGCAUGGUUUUGUCUGGACUUCAUCAAUGUUGCUCCAAGGGUUGGCCAGGAGAGGGCAUUAACGAGCGAUUUAAGGCAGGCCUUCUUCUGAAUGGGCUAAACGUUUUGUUUCAGCCGUGAUCCCAUGAGCUGCCAACCUAAGAAGCAAGGGGCUGGACUCAGUCCUGAUUUCAGGUCCCCUGUUUCCUGAUUUACUUUUGUACUAGACUUAUUAUAUAAGUGCUUUUCAAACAGCCCUGGAUAGAGGAUGGAAUAAAUACUCUCUCGUUUAAAAGCACAAAUACAUGUCAGAGUACAGAGAUAGGUGAACAAAAUGCCCUUAAAUAUGGAUGGUACAGGUUGCUCACUUUGGGCUAGAUUGUGACUUGGACAACAAACCCAUACAAGAGAGUGAGAAAUCCCCUCUUACACCUUAAUGCAGGUUACUCAGGUCUUGGGAGUAAGUGGGGUUAACUCACUUGCUUCCUCCCUACCAGAAGCAAGUGGAGAAGGGGCGAGAAAAAGUUAGACCACUUGCUCAAUAGCCAGAAUAGCUGAACCAGCACAAUGUGAGAAGUAAUUUACUGCUGGCUUAUUACCCCCAAGAACAAGAAAGAAGCUGUGACUCCCUGCUGUGUCUCGCUGAGUGACAAUAUUUCCCAAGGUUAGUGCAGUUUACGUACCACGUAGGGCUGUGCCUAAAGUCACAAUCUAGCCCUGUCUCGUGGGGGAAAUUCAUCCAACACCAGUGGUAGAUUCAGACCCAUCUUGACAGUUAAAUUUUCACUAUCCUACAGAAAAAAAGCAUUUUAUAGAGCUAGCAAACGGAAGUGUUGUACAAUCUAUAUUCUCAAAGAGUCUUUUCUAACUUAUUUGCACAUCUUUAGACUAUUAUGCAUGAUAAAUUUGGACAAGUAUCAAUAUAACAAACAAUAUCCAUCCUAUUUUGGAACUUUAUGAAGAAAAGGGCAUAAUGAAGCUAUUGUGUAUUUUUGAUAAAUAUAACAAAGCUAUGGUGAGGACAGUCCAGGGCCCUAUGAUCCUUGGUGUCUUUCUCUGUAGCUGGGGAGGCUGGGUGUAUAGCCAGUGUGUUUGUCACUGUGUGGAUCCUCUGGAUAAAAUCAUUGCAUAGAAGGUGAACAUGGGCAGCAGAUAGUUCUACAGCCCCUGAUGAUAUGAUUCUGCUCCUUCCAACCCCCAUGGAUAGCCCAGGUGGAAAGUCCAUUACUUGAGCUUUGUGCAGCAGACCAGGAUUUGUCCCUUAAAUAUUAUUUGAUUGCAGUUUUGUGAAAUAAACAAAGAGCUUCAAUUCAAUAAUAAAUACAAAUAAAUCAGUAAAAUAGAAAAAUGGUAACACUCCACUAAUGUCUAAAAAAGUUUCUAAUAGAUGUAGUUUUUAAUUGGUAAUUAUGAGAGAUAAUUGCAGUGGCUAAGAGUUAUGUGGAAUGCAGAAUUAAUACACAUUAUUUAAGGGAAGAUUAGGGUUUGAUAUGUUGAAAGAAAUAUUUUAUCAGUAUAUUCAAACACAGGAUGACAUUUUCAGCACAAAUUAUGCAUCACAUAAAAAAUGAAUGACUAUAAUUUAUAAUUGAACAACAGACCGCAUAUGGUUUGGAAAGGUAGAAGAAAUUGCAGAAUUUUGUUCAAAAGCUAGUACAAAUCUGAAAGAUUUUGUGUGUUUUGAAAUUAUUUAAUACAGAGGUUUUUGUAAAUUAAUUUUGAAGUUACAUUAAACAGCCAUCAAAGAAAUAUAUGGGAAUAGUAUUUUCAGUAGCAAGACCUUGAGUAAUGAGACAUUGUACACAAAUUUCUGUACCUUCAGCAAGAGUAGUUUAUAAGACUAAAUGUAUGUAUUCCUCUGAUGUACAGUCAUCUAGGGAUAUUUAAAAUACUUAAUAUUUAAAAACUGUAAACAUGUAAUAUUGUGAAAUAUUAUGUAGUUCUGCAUAGAUUUUUAAGUUAUUGUAUAUUUAAGGUGUGAAUAUUUUUAUAGGACAUGUGUUAUGUAAGAAAAUAUCAAUGUAUUUAAAAAUGAAUAUGUUCUUUAUAAAAGUUCAGUGGCCAAAAGUAAGAUUCAAAUUUGUUAUAUUGCUUUGAAUUUAAAGUUUUUACAUGAGGACUGAAAAAGAAACUUGGAUAGGCUUAAUUUGGAGUGAGCAAGAAUAAGGGUAGACCUGAUAGAUAUAUUCCCAGUAAAGAAUGGUCUAGUUAAGAUGAAACAAUUGCUAGCUGCUUCUUGUCUAUAAUGCUAUAUCUGGAGCAG
This is a long non-coding RNA of Chrysemys picta bellii (western painted turtle), 2551 nucleotides long. RefSeq lists it as uncharacterized. Lineage: Eukaryota; Metazoa; Chordata; Testudines; Emydidae. The record is from RefSeq and is a predicted model, not a curated record.